This 525-nucleotide ribosomal RNA is filed under the name Pichia pseudolambica. RNAcentral describes it as "[Candida] pseudolambica partial large subunit ribosomal RNA". It matches the Rfam family "Eukaryotic large subunit ribosomal RNA", at positions 62 to 604 of the family's 3401-position model. The record is from RNAcentral. Lineage: Eukaryota; Fungi; Ascomycota; Pichiomycetes; Pichiales; Pichiaceae.
AAACCAACAGGGAUUGCCCCAGUAGCGGCGAGUGAAGCGGCAAGAGCUCAGAUUUGGAAUCGUGUUUCGGCACGAGUUGUAAAUUGCAGGUUGGAGUCUUUGUGGAAGCGUGUGUCCAAGUCCCUUGGAACAGGGCGCCAUUGAGGGUGAGAGCCCCGUGGGAUGCGCGCGGAAGCAGCAAGGCCCUUCUGACGAGUCGAGUUGUUUGGGAAUGCAGCUCUAAGCGGGUGGUAAAUUCCAUCUAAGGCUAAAUACUGGCGAGAGACCGAUAGCGAACAAGUACUGUGAAGGAAAGAUGAAAAGCACUUUGAAAAGAGAGUGAAACAGCACGUGAAAUUGUUGAAAGGGAAGGGUAUUGGGCCCGACAUGGGGAUUGCGCAUCUCUGCUCCUUGUGGGCGGGGCGCUGUGCUUUUCCUGGGCCAGCAUCGGUUUUUGCCGCAGGAGAAGGGGUACUGGAAUGUGGCUCCUCGGAGUGUUAUAGCCAGUGCCAGAUGCUGCGUGCGGGGACCGAGGGCUGCGACAUC